CCUCAAGACAAGAACUUAUACCACUUGAAUCCGUCUCUAAUCACAACUAGAGACACAUCACAACUUCGACCCAAUCGAAUCAACUUCCGCCAUCGCUAUAGGUUCACGUUUCGCUCACGCACCGAUAACCUUAGGGCUUACCAACCUAGGGUCUCCUAGGUCAUCCUAGACUUUCUCUCUUUACUUGCUCUUAUUGCUCUGAUGCCACAUCUGCUGUCACGCCCCGCCCCGAAACCACUGCCAAUUUGGCACGGUUCGGCCGCGGCGGCGGGCCGCCGAACGGACAGCACCUCCCCUGUCCGCCC
This 305-nucleotide long non-coding RNA is filed under the name Ananas comosus (pineapple). Its description in RNAcentral is "long non-coding RNA (ACOM_LNC041934)". The record is from RNAcentral. Lineage: Eukaryota; Viridiplantae; Streptophyta; Magnoliopsida; Poales; Bromeliaceae.